This 495-nucleotide ribosomal RNA is filed under the name uncultured bacterium. Its description in RNAcentral is "partial 16S ribosomal RNA". It matches the Rfam family "Bacterial small subunit ribosomal RNA", at positions 28 to 523 of the family's 1533-position model. The record is from RNAcentral.
GAUGAACGCUAGCGGGAGGCCUAACACAUGCAAGCCGAGCGGUAUUUAUUCUUCGGAAUAGAGAGAGCGGCGUACGGGUGCGGAACACGUGUGCAACCUGCCUUUAUCAGGGGGAUAGCCUUUCGAAAGGAAGAUUAAUACCCCAUAAUAUAUUGAUUGGCAUCAAUUGAUAUUGAAAACUCCGGUGGAUAAAGAUGGGCACGCGCAAGAUUAGAUAGUUGGUGAGGUAACGGCUCACCAAGUCGAUGAUCUUUAGGGGGCCUGAGAGGGUGAUCCCCCACACUGGUACUGAGACACGGACCAGACUCCUACGGGAGGCAGCAGUGAGGAAUAUUGGACAAUGGGUGAGAGCCUGAUCCAGCCAUCCCGCGUGAAGGACGACGGUUCUAUGGAUUGUAAACUUCUUUUAUAUAGGGAUAAACCUACUUACGUGUAAGUAGCUGAAGGUACUAUAUGAAUAAGCACCGGCUAACUCCGUGCCAGCCGCCGCGGUAA